RNAcentral lists this ribosomal RNA (459 nucleotides) under Salmonella enterica subsp. enterica serovar Typhimurium. RNAcentral describes it as "bacterial SSU rRNA". It matches the Rfam family "Bacterial small subunit ribosomal RNA", at positions 1 to 456 of the family's 1533-position model. Lineage: Bacteria; Pseudomonadati; Pseudomonadota; Gammaproteobacteria; Enterobacterales; Enterobacteriaceae. The record is from RNAcentral.
AAAUUGAAGAGUUUGAUCAUGGCUCAGAUUGAACGCUGGCGGCAGGCCUAACACAUGCAAGUCGAACGGUAACAGGAAGCAGCUUGCUGCUUUGCUGACGAGUGGCGGACGGGUGAGUAAUGUCUGGGAAACUGCCUGAUGGAGGGGGAUAACUACUGGAAACGGUGGCUAAUACCGCAUAACGUCGCAAGACCAAAGAGGGGGACCUUCGGGCCUCUUGCCAUCAGAUGUGCCCAGAUGGGAUUAGCUUGUUGGUGAGGUAACGGCUCACCAAGGCGACGAUCCCUAGCUGGUCUGAGAGGAUGACCAGCCACACUGGAACUGAGACACAGUCCAGACUCCUACGGGAGGCAGCAGUGGGGAAUAUUGCACAAUGGGCGCAAGCCUGAUGCAGCCAUGCCGCGUGUAUGAAGAAGGCCUUCGGGUUGUAAAGUACUUUCAGCGGGGAGGAAGGUGUUG